AUGGACAAGUACCCUACUCCCAUCCAUGCGAGAGUCCUACUGCAGGCUCUACUUCUUCUUCUCAUAUGUCAUGCAACUACAACACAAUCUAAGCGGGGGAUACGAAAUAGUCGAAUCAUCGAUGGCAUCGAUAAGGAUAAGAUCAACUUACACGGGUUGUGCGUUAUAGACAAACCAGUCCUUGGUGACUACUGUUGCAAAGUGACGAAUCAGUGUUACAUAGACCUUCCGUCAUGCCUUGCUGAGUGCAACAAACCUGCAGGCAUGGUGGCGAUGGAAACCCCUCCUUCACCUACCCUAUUCCCAUCAAAUUGA
This 315-nucleotide ribosomal RNA is filed under the name Triticum aestivum (bread wheat). Its description in RNAcentral is "partial small subunit ribosomal RNA". The record is from RNAcentral. Lineage: Eukaryota; Viridiplantae; Streptophyta; Magnoliopsida; Poales; Poaceae.